This is a long non-coding RNA of Passer domesticus (house sparrow), 570 nucleotides long. RefSeq lists it as uncharacterized. The transcript is spliced from 3 exons. The record is from RefSeq and is a predicted model, not a curated record. NCBI's taxonomy places the organism in Eukaryota, Metazoa, Chordata, Aves, Passeriformes, Passeridae.
AUGACAAAGUGGAGCUGGCACUGACAGGAGCAGCCCACCCUUCAGGCUGUGGGACACAUUUGGGCCAAGGAAUUCAGUGGGACUGCUUCUCUUGCUGCUGAACUCAGGACCUGCACACACACAUCUCAACAGUAACAAGUGCCAGUCCAAUACAAGAUCUCAGCACUUCUGGGACCCCUGAAAAGCACCAUGAAAUUCAUGUCCAGGCCUGUAGUUGGUGGAGGGACAUCAUCAAGACAGUUUCAUCAUUUUCCAGUCACUGCUCUUGCUACAACCUCACAUAAAGCCUUGCAAGCAGCUGGACAGAGUGUUUCUGGUUGGGGAAGGGUAUUUCUGCUGGCUGGGAUCACUGUCUUGUCAUCAAGCUGCACACCUGCCCUUGAUGCUCACCUCCCCAUGCUACCAGCACUGGAAUGAACAUUUCAACAUUUCAAGGAUUCCCUCUCCUUUCCCUUGACGGUGUUUCCCAUCAAAGAGGAUCUUUUAGAGGUGCUCACUGUAAAUAUUAUCUCAGGUUAUUUUUAUGUUUGCUCUGAGUGCUAGUGUUACCAGAAAAGCCAUCAAGCAGGA